AAAAAAAAAAAUCGAGGCAACCAAGACAGGGAACGGAUAAGUGACUUUUCAAGAGCAUGACAUUCUUUGGUGACAAAUGUCUCCGGCAUCUCUGAUUGAAGUGUUAGAGCUGCAGGAAACAGGAGAGCACCCACCAUUAAGGCAAAACCUCGGAAUUUGCCUCCGGAGAGAUCCAGUUUCAAAGGGGGUGUUUUCACGCUUGGAGUGUCUCCGGCAGUUUGCUCAGGUGCGUCGAGGAUGUGGGGCGGGGCCUGGUUUCACGUGACGGGAACACGUGGCCCGCCCGGCCCGCCUGGCCCCAGGCCCAGGUUAACAGAGGCCUCAGAGCUCUAGCCGGAGACUCAUCUGCCCCCUAUUGGGACCACCUUGGGGUCACCUGAGGCCCCUGGAUAACGAGGUUCCUGCCAGCUGAGGCCGCACUGGACCUGGGCUGCCCUGGACGAGAAGGCCUUCUCCGCGCACGAGACGCUGCGUAAGGACCGGCGAUGCCAUCUGCCUCGGGGCUGCUCUAGCUCCCUGCCCCUCCCCCAACGGGCCGCACCCAGACCAAGGCCCUCCCAGCCGUGUCCUGAGACCCACCGCAAACCUGUCUCCCCACCUCCUGGCCUCCCCGAGGCACCUCCCCCGCUUCCCCGGAGGCGCAGCACCCGGCCACGUCCACACCGCGGUCCCGAGGCCUGGUGACUUUCCUGAACUGCGUUGGUCCAGCCCAACGCCAGACACCAUCCGGGGAGCUCAGACCUGCUUUCUUCUAGAAUGAUGGUGAAACACAAAGAAAGCUGCUUUUAAGAGCUCGUACCACUGACCCACUUGAGAAAAAAAAGGGACACGGCUUUCAAACGAUUCCUGCGUCCUGUCCCCACGGUGGAGCGCGUUGCCGCAACGUGAGCCGAAAGGUGAUGUGCGGAUCAGGAACCAGCAUUCUGUCUGCCACGGCCGGGCCCGUCUGCUGAGCGAGGAGGCCUCCACCCUGGGGCUCGCCUGCCCGCCCUUGCGCUCCAGAGAACUGAGACGGUGUGAUCCUUUGAUUUCUUCGGGGAGCGCAGACCUGCCAGGUGACACGUGUUUUCUGGCUUGACACUCGCUCAUUCAGCUCUCCCAGCUCCCAGGCCAAUAAACAAAAUUACCUCCUGUUGGUUUUCGACGACCAAAAAGAAGUCGUUUAAAAAAGAAAAAAGGCCAAGAAGGACAGAAGUGUCCAUUUCUUGUUUCUCCUGCGACGCUGACUCUGCUGCUUGAGGUGCAUUAGAAACACGAAGGACCCAAGCUGGCCGUGUGGACCCAGCUCAGCAUCCUCCAAGCUGCGAGUCCAACCCACACCCCAUCCUGUGUGCUGAGCGGGAAUAAUCCUCUCCCCUCCUGCCCCUCUUUCUGGCCACAGAGCCUUUUCUGGAACCAGGGCAGAAGAAUCUCAGAAUCACAGGCCACUUACCCAUUUGGUGUCAUGAAAUAUAAACUGCUAACAUACUUUCACAAAACGGGCUCGAGAAUGAAAUUAAAAUCGGCUCGUCUGAUCUAUUACAAAGUCUAGUAGAUUCUAAAUAAGUAUUCUGUGAAUUAUAUUUUAAUAUUUUCAAUGACAUGAGAUAUUUCAAAAUUAUUGGUUACAAGUGUGUAAUUAAAGCUAUUACUUAUGAUUACAAGAUGUUUUUAGAGUGCUCUUCUUGGCAACAGAAAGUAGUCCCAGUGAACUGCGCCGAGUACCACUUUUUGGAAGCCAUGGCAGGCAUCGAGGUAAUACUAGGAUUCAGUUUGUCUUCCAGAACUGCUAAAUAUUUAUCUAAACCCUGGUUUCUCAGUUUCAAAGAAGUCAGCUAAUUCUAUUUUUACUUAAAAAACCUGGGUGCCGAGGAGUUCCCGUCGUGGCGCAGUGGUUAACGAAUCUGACUAGGAACCAUGAGGUUGCAGGUUCGGUCCCUGCCCUUGCUCAGUGGGUUA
Non-coding RNA from Sus scrofa (pig), 1938 nucleotides. The record is from RefSeq and is a predicted model, not a curated record. Lineage: Eukaryota; Metazoa; Chordata; Mammalia; Artiodactyla; Suidae.